UUUGAGAGAGUAUGAGUGUUUAUGAGAGGAGGAAAGGGUGAGGAAGAUGAAAUCGUGGGUGCUGGGUAGGUUUAGGGGCGUCCGGUUCGGUUUAGGUAGAUUGGGGAUUGGUUCAUUUUAACCAAACUGGGUUUAAAUGAAGAAAACUUACCUGACCGGCUCGGGAGCGACUUGAGUGUGUCGCUGCGAGAGGUCGCUCCCGGGUUGUUUUUUCGCGUCGUGAUUCGACGAAAACGCGAGCGACCUGGCUGUGUCACUCCGAAGACGUCGCUC
Molecule: long non-coding RNA, 273 nt
Filed under: Brassica napus (rape)
Lineage: Eukaryota; Viridiplantae; Streptophyta; Magnoliopsida; Brassicales; Brassicaceae
Description: long non-coding RNA (BNAP_LNC019882)
Source: RNAcentral